Molecule: long non-coding RNA, 4340 nt
Organism: Peromyscus californicus insignis
Lineage: Eukaryota; Metazoa; Chordata; Mammalia; Rodentia; Cricetidae
Exons: 4
Source: RefSeq, a predicted model, not a curated record
UUCAGGUUUGAAAACCUAUUAGGCUCUCCCAUGCUUUUAAGGUAGAGGAGGGACUAGUGGGGUAGUAGAACUACAUGGGCAUUGCUUCAGUUCAUUGUCUCUCAGAACUUGCUCUGAGUGGCCCCCUGCAGUUCUGAACGGUAAAUGGAAUGCAACCUAGUCACCCAGCAGCGACUGAGCGCCCUGACUGAGGAUGGGAACAUUUAAACUGGAGGCCAAGAGGAAGUCAAGAGGAGACCAGGUGGCACUAAACCCAACAGGAGCAGCAGCAGCAGCCAUGAUUUGAAAACGCGGCACCUCAGCAAUCUGGCAAGCGCUCCACUUGGAGAAGACUAUAUCUACCAGCUGCCUCCGAAAUCUAAGUUAUUAUUUGAGGACCCCACUGAGCAGACAUCAUUCGCCUAAUGUAGAUCCAGGGGGAGGCAACACUGGCCUGAAGCAGCGGCAUUUGGAGAAAAAAGAAAGAAGAAAUGGAUUUUCCUAAUGAGGCUUCCCCAAGCCACCAUUUCAUGCUGUAGCUGAAAGAAAGACACCAUCAAAGGAUCUUGAGGUGCUGAAGAAUCUCAGUGUAAAGAGGGGGUAAGACGCCAGCUACUUCAUAACAAGGCUGUAGAAAUGUCUGUUACAUUUAAAGAGUGUAAGUCACCCCCCCACACACACACACCAUGCACAGAAGAACUGUGUAAUUACACAGAUGACCAACAGAUCCGUGGAGGCACACAGCAUAUGCAAAAUCACACACACAGACUGAACGGCUGCAUGUCUGAUGAUGGUUAGGAUGAAUUAAUUUCACAGCCUACUUCUCCUGUGGAAGAUGACCUCCUUUAUGCAAAUGAAGGGUGUGUGGCCAUCUCUGAAUUUCCACUAAAAAGCCUUUGAAAGCAAGUGGCAGAAACUACAGCCCCCAGAAGAGUAGCUUUCAUUUGUUACAAAGCCUACGCAGAAGUUCUCCAGGACCGACAACCAAAUCGUUUCAGAACAUCAAGAAGAUCCCAGUGAUAAUGUCUGAUUCACGUGGCUGCGGACCCACUUGGCUGUUAGAAGAUGAAACGCAACAACGCCCAGAAGGCACCUAGCCUACGUGACGCUCGCCGCUGCCAUAGCUGUCCUCAGAGUAUGCUCCUGCAGAAUAUCAGGAUCCAUUAAAGAAAAUUACCUCAAAACUUGUCUCUAAAAGCCUUGAGCAUCUCAUCCAGAUGUGCAAGUGGGCAGCUGGUCCCUCCUCGGUGGCCUGAUGGGUAGAAUGGCCUCUUCUGUGUUGAUGACAGACAUGUUACAUACAAUCUCAGUGGUGCAGAAACUGGACGGGUCCCAGUUUAUAUAAACCUGAGAAAGGGGAUUGUGAAGUUUUUGUUUCAUUUCUCUCUCGCCAAUCACUUUAUGAAGAGAAAUACUAGAUUAUUUAGACACAUUAUUCAUACUCGCUUAUUUGUGAUUCUGUGCUGUGUACCACAGUAAAUGUUUUGCAUGUAUUUUUUUUUCUAAUCCUACUCACAAAAAUGCAUCCAUGGAUCCUGUUCCUUCAGCCGUUGGAUGUAGAUCCAGGUUCGCGUCACAGACGAGGAAUCUGAAGUUUCGGAGAGUUUUAGUACUUUACCCCGGGCCCGUUAUGACUUGAGCUUAGGACUCCGGCGCUGCUGCCUGCAAAUCCUUCAUAACGUCUUCUCUUAAAAAUCUUCCUUUGUGUUUGAUUUCAUCAGCCUUCGCUCAUUAAACGUGGGGUUGGCUGUGAGCGGUGACGGGGUGUUUGUACAUGUAAGUGUAAGGAGAUAGCCGCGUUAGAUAGCCCGAUCACGCGUGCCCUUGGAAUCUGGCGUCAGUUCUGCUUGGCGCCAGCAGGUGGCAGGCUUGUAUCAGUCAGCACUCCUACAAAGCGCAAGGAAUUAUUUUAAUGGCAAACUGUGGAAAUCAUCACUCAUCUCUUUGGGGCCCGUUUUGAAGGACUGACGACAGCUGACCUUGUUCACUUACUCUCAUGCAAGGAGUGAGAAAUGAAAUAAGCUGCCUUUGAACUGACUUCUUACUCUUGAAAAUGGCUCUUGGAUGUUUUGUACGCACUCACUCCAUUACAAAUGUUAAGACAGUUAGCACAGGUACUGUUGGCACCUACAUUUAUCACCUCUACUAAGUUUAUCCUUGCAGUCUCUCAUCUCAGCUGAUGUUCGCAGAAUACUGGGGUUUGAACUUGGACUUGGUGAUAUUUGAGAAGCAUCUGUAAAGCCAUUUAGGGAGCAGUGUUGGGAGCACUCAGUGAUGGAGUACAUGCCUAGUGUGGUGGUUUGAACGUAAUUGGCCCCCAUCAUCUCACAGGGAGUGGCACUAUUAGAUGUGGUUUUAAUGGAGUGGGCGUGGCCUUGUUGGAGGAAGUGUGCCACUGUGGGGACGAGCUUUGAGGUUUCCUAUGCUCAGGAUACCACCCAGUGUCUCAGUUGACUUCCUGCUGUCUACAAGAUGUAGGACUCUUAGCUACUACUCCAGCACCACAUCUUCCUGCAUGCUGCCAUGCUCUCCACCAUGGUGACAGUGGACUGAACCUCUGAAACUGUAAACCACCACCCCAGUUAAAUGUUUUACUUUAUAAGAGUUGCUGUGGUCAUGGUGUCUCUUCACAUCAAUAGAAACCCUAACUAAGACACCUAGCAUGUGUGAAGCUCUAGGUCCAAUACUCAGCACCCCUGAACCUCCAUUUCCCUAUCUGUAACACAGCUGUGGUUGAUGAUGGUGAUGGUAAUGAUGGUUCCUAUGCUCUCUUAUGAGGAUGAAAGCCAUAUGGAAAGGACUUUGUAUAGAAUUUACCCAAGAUGGUCAUUUUAGAUGACUGAUCCAAAGUAGAAAAACACCUUAGUGUUUGAUAGUCCCUGAUAAGGACUACAUUGUAAGAAACUCAGGGCUAGGGUUUAGCUAGGUCCCAGGAAACUUUCUUACUUUUUAUUGGAAUGUCUUGUCCACAGCUUAACCUCAUGCCUUGUAACCUCUUACAGAGAAUCAUUGAACAAAUCAGCUUAUAUUUUACAUUCUAUGACGCCAGUCUCUAGGGGUGAUUUUUCAGGGUAACCACCCUGUGACCUGACUUCAACUCAGUUUUACUAAUGGCCACUGCUACUUGCCAGCUAGUGUCCCUGAAGGAAGGGUCUGCAGCAGGCAGCCGGUCCACUCUUGGAACCCAGGUGACCCAUAAUUCUCACUUGCCGGCCAUGCAUGUUCUGAGUUUCUCUUUCCCCAGAAGAACCUUUCUCCAGCCAGGAGCCUCAUCUAUUCUCCAGUUCUAAGCAUGCUCUGCUAACCCAUGCUGUGAGCUUCCUGGCAAGGCAGAUCCCCUGAUGUUUAAGGGCAGGAUCUGGUUUCACUUCGAAAUGAAAUCCUGACAAGUUGUUUAAACUUUGCAUAGGUUUUCACAUCCCUGCGAUGAGAAUAAUAAUAGUCUCAACCUCAUAAGGAUAAUCUAGGGAUUUAAAGAGAUAAAGUUUAGAAAACACUUGGUACAGAGGAUGGGACAAAAUAAAUGCCCAGCACUCAGCAGCUAACGUUAGCAUCAAACAGAUUAUGUGGUACUUUUUAUGGCUUUUGAUUAUGCCUCUUCUUUCUGAGUGGGUAGUCAAAUUUAGGAUUCAGAGUUCAUGCUUAAUGCCUGUUGAAAGUCUUUGUACUGCCUUGUAUAGUCUCUAAACAUGACAGAUACACCAUGUUUUUUUAAAACAUAUUAACCAUUCUUUCUUAGCAUUAUAAAGUAAAAUUCACCUUCAAGAUUUAAAUUUUUUUAAUAGAGGAUCUACCUAGACACUGGCUGAGGGUCACAUAGCCAUGUGCCAAGAAAUGAUAAAGCUGUCCAUUCACUACUCACUAGACAAGGUUCCAUUCAGAGUAGUUUGUUGGUGCUAACAGAUAUUUAUUGAGGCAGAAUUUAUUUUCUACACUGUAGCAUGAAUCUUCAAAGUUCUUAUUAAUAAAAUCAAACCUGAGGCCAGUUAUUGGGGUGAAAUGCUGGAAGAUCAGAGAGACAGAACAAGCCACAGCUUCCUCACCUGGCCAAUUCCUCAGCUGAUCUUGUUCCCUCAAACUGGAAGCCUCUGUGUCCUCAUAUCCGAAUGGCUCUCAGCUGAACUGUGCUGCUCAAAACCUAAAAGCUUAACUAGCCAAAUGCUUCUAGUUUCUGGUCUUCACGCCUUAUAUACCUUUCUACUUUCUACCCUCACUCCCUUGGAUUAAAGGCUCGCUUUCUGGGAUUAAAGGCGUGUUUCUGUUCUGCCUUCUCAUUGGUUGUAAACCCAACCACAUGACCUCCUAGUCACUGUCUGUCUGUACAGACCUCCAGGUCUUCUAUGGUUGGUAUUGAGAUUAAA